GAACUGCGAUAAGUAAUGUGAAUUGCAGAAUUCAGUGAAUCAUCGGGUCUUUGAACGCACAUUGCGCCCCCUGGCAUUCCGGGGGGCAUGCCUGUCCGAGCGUCAUUGCUGCCCUUCAAGCCCGGCUUGUGUGUUGGGUCGUCGUCCCCUCCGGGGGACGGGCCCGAAAGGCAGCGGCGGCACCGCGUCCGGUCCUCGAGCGUAUGGGGCUUUGUCACCCGCUCGAUAAGGACCGGCCGGGCGCCAGCCGGCGUCUCCAACCUUUUUUCUCAGGUUGACCUCGGAUCAGGUAGGGAUACCCGCUGAACUUAAGC
RNAcentral lists this unclassified non-coding RNA (314 nucleotides) under plant metagenome. Its description in RNAcentral is "partial contains 5.8S ribosomal RNA, internal transcribed spacer 2, and large subunit ribosomal RNA". The stretch from base 1 to 105 matches the Rfam family "5.8S ribosomal RNA", at positions 50 to 154 of the family's 154-position model. The record is from RNAcentral.